GUAGGACGCACAGUUAUACCGUAGCUUGCUACACCAUAGACUGUGAGUUGCGAACGGGUGAGUAACGCGUAGGUAACUUGCCUAUUAGAGGGGGAUAACUAUUGGAAACGAUAGCUAAUACCGCAUAACAGUAUGUAACACAUGUUAGAUGCUUGAAAGAUGCAAUUGCAUCGCUAGUAGAUGGACCUGCGUUGUAUUAGCUAGUAGGUAGGGUAAAGGCCUACCUAGGCAACGAUACAUAGCCGACCUGAGAGGGUGAUCGGCCACACUGGGACUGAGACACGGCCCAGACUCCUACGGGAGGCAGCAGUAGGGAAUCUUCGGCAAUGGGGGGAACCCUGACCGAGCAACGCCGCGUGAGUGAAGAAGGUUUUCGGAUCGUAAAGCUCUGUUGUUAAGGAAGAACGAGUGUGAGAAUGGAAAGUUCAUACUGUGACGGUACUUAACCAGAAAGGGACGGCUAACUACGUGCCAGCAGCCGCGGUAAUACAUAGGUCCCGAGCGUUGUCCGGAUUUAUUGGGCGUAAAGCGAGCGCAGGCGGUUAGAAAAGUCUGAAGUGAAAGGCAGUGGCUCAACCAUUGUAGGCUUUGGAAACUGUUUAACUUGAGUGCAGAAGGGGAGAGUGGAAUUCCAUGUGUAGCGGUGAAAUGCGUAGAUAUAUGGAGGAAC
Molecule: ribosomal RNA, 670 nt
Filed under: uncultured Bacilli bacterium
Lineage: Bacteria; Bacillati; Bacillota; Bacilli
Description: bacterial SSU rRNA
Rfam family: Bacterial small subunit ribosomal RNA
Source: RNAcentral